AGUGAACGCUGGCGGUAGGCCUAACACAUGCAAGUCGAACGGCAGCACAGUAAGAGCUUGCUCUUACGGGUGGCGAGUGGCGGACGGGUGAGGAAUACAUCGGAAUCUACUUUUUCGUGGGGGAUAACGUAGGGAAACUUACGCUAAUACCGCAUACGACCUACGGGUGAAAGCAGGGGAUCUUCGGACCUUGCGCGAUUGAAUGAGCCGAUGUCGGAUUAGCUAGUUGGCGGGGUAAAGGCCCACCAAGGCGACGAUCCGUAGCUGGACUGAGAGGAUGAUCAGCCACACUGGAACUGAGAGACGGUCCAGACUCCUGCGGGAGGCAGAAGUGGGGAAUAUUGGACGAUGGGCGCAAGCCUGAUCCAGCCAUACCGCGUGGGUGAAGAAGGUCUUCGGGUUGUAAAGGCCUUUUGUUGGGAAAGAAAAGCAGCAGGUUAAUACCCCGCUGUUCUGACGGUACCCAAAGAAUAAGCACCGGCUAACUUCGUGC
Molecule: ribosomal RNA, 493 nt
Filed under: uncultured bacterium
Lineage: Bacteria
Description: partial 16S ribosomal RNA
Rfam family: Bacterial small subunit ribosomal RNA
Source: RNAcentral